Molecule: non-coding RNA, 28 nt
Filed under: Mus musculus (house mouse)
Lineage: Eukaryota; Metazoa; Chordata; Mammalia; Rodentia; Muridae
Source: RNAcentral
UAGUGGCUCUGACUUUGUGGGCUUGUCC